Molecule: ribosomal RNA, 531 nt
Filed under: uncultured bacterium
Lineage: Bacteria
Description: bacterial SSU rRNA
Rfam family: Bacterial small subunit ribosomal RNA
Source: RNAcentral
AAAAUAGAUACCCGGGUAGUCCACGCCCUAAACGAUGCGAACUGGAUGUUGGGUACAUUACGGGUACUCAGUGUCGAAGCUAACGCGUUAAGUUCGCCGCCUGGGGAGUACGGUCGCAAGACUGAAACUCAAAGGAAUUGACGGGGGCCCGCACAAGCGGUGGAGUAUGUGGUUUAAUUCGAUGCAACGCGAAGAACCUUACCUGGCCUUGACAUCUGUCGAAUCCUGCAGAGAUGCGGGAGUGCCGCAAGGAACGACAAGACAGGUGCUGCAUGGCUGUCGUCAGCUCGUGUCGUGAGAUGUUGGGUUAAGUCCCGCAACGAGCGCAACCCUUGUCCCUAGUUGCCAGCACGUAAUGGUGGGAACUCUAGGGAGACUGCCGGUGACAAACCGGAGGAAGGUGGGGAUGACGUCAAGUCCUCAUGGCCCUUAGGCCAGGGCUACACACGUACUACAAUGGUCGGUACAGAGGGUUGCGAAGCCGCGAGGUGGAGCCAAUCCCAGAAAACCGAUCCCAGUCCGGAUUGGAGU